AGUGAACGCUGGCGGUAGGCCUAACACAUGCAAGUCGAACGGCAGCACAGUAAGAGCUUGCUCUUACGGGUGGCGAGUGGCGGACGGGUGAGGAAUACAUCGGAAUCUACUUUUUCGUGGGGGAUAACGUAGGGAAACUUACGCUAAUACCGCAUACGACCUACGGGUGAAAGCAGGGGAUCUUCGGACCUUGCGCGAUUGAAUGAGCCGAUGUCGGAUUAGCUAGUUGGCGGGGUAAAGGCCCACCAAGGCGACGAUCCGUAGCUGGUCUGAGAGGAUGAGCAGCCACACUGGAACUGAGACACGGUCCAGACUCCUCCGGGAGGCAGCAGUGGGGAAUAUUGGACAAUGGGCGCAAGCCUGCUCCAGCCAUACCGCGUGGGUGAAGAAGGCCUUCGGGUUGUAAAGCCCUUUUGUUGGGAAAGAAAAGCAGCAGGUUAAUACCCCGCUGUUCUGACGGUACCCAAAGAAUAAGCACCGGCUAACUUCGUG
Molecule: ribosomal RNA, 492 nt
Filed under: uncultured bacterium
Lineage: Bacteria
Description: partial 16S ribosomal RNA
Rfam family: Bacterial small subunit ribosomal RNA
Source: RNAcentral